RNAcentral lists this ribosomal RNA (406 nucleotides) under uncultured bacterium. RNAcentral's name for it is "partial 16S ribosomal RNA". It matches the Rfam family "Bacterial small subunit ribosomal RNA", at positions 30 to 526 of the family's 1533-position model. The record is from RNAcentral.
AUUGAACGCUGGCGGCAGGCCUAACACAUGCAAGUAGAGCGAGCGGCGGACGGGUGAGUAAUGUAUGGGGAGCUGCCUGAUGGAGGGGGAUAACUACUGGAAACGGUAGCUAAUACCGCAUACCAUCAGAUGAACCCAUAUGGGAUUAUCUUGUAGGUGAGGUAACGGCUCACCUAGGCGACGAUCCCUAGCUGGUCUGAGAGGAUGAUCAGCCACACGGGAACGGAGACACGGCCCAAGCUCCUACGGUAGGCAGAAGUGGGGAAUAUUGCACAUGGUGCGCAAGCCUGUGGCAGCCAUGCCGCGGGUAUUAAGAAGGCCUUCGGGUUGUAAAGUACUUUCAGUCGGGAGGCGUUACCGACAGAAGAAGCACCGGCUAACUCCGUGCCAGCAGCCGCGGUAAUAC